This is a non-coding RNA of Verrucomicrobia bacterium GWF2_62_7, 73 nucleotides long. Lineage: Bacteria; Pseudomonadati; Verrucomicrobiota. The record is from Rfam.
GGGGGUGUAGCUCAGUUGGUAGAGCGCCUCGUUCGCAACGAGGAGGUCAAGGGUUCGAAUCCCUUCACCUCCA